RNAcentral lists this ribosomal RNA (481 nucleotides) under uncultured bacterium. RNAcentral describes it as "partial 16S ribosomal RNA". It matches the Rfam family "Bacterial small subunit ribosomal RNA", at positions 28 to 507 of the family's 1533-position model. The record is from RNAcentral.
GAUGAACGCUGGCGGCGUGCCUAACACAUGCAAGUCGAACGGAGAUUACGGACGGAAGUUUUCGGAUGGAAGACUGUAAUUCUUAGUGGCGGACGGGUGAGUAACGCGUGGGCAACCUGCCCUAUACAGGGGGAUAGCAGCUGGAAACGGCUGGUAAGACCGCAUAAGUCGGUUAAAUCGCAUGAUUUGAUCGGGAAAUGAGCAAUCAGGUAUAGGAUGGGCCCGCAUCCGAUUAGCCAGUUGGCAGGGUAAAAGCCUACCAAAGCGACGAUCGGUAGCCGGACUGAGAGGUCGGACGGCCACAUUGGGACUGGGACACGGCCCAAACUCCUACGGGAGGCAGCAGUGGGGGAUAUUGCACAAUGGAGGAAACUCUGAUGCAGCGACGCCGCGUGAGUGAAGAAGUAUUUCGGUAUGUAAAGCUCUAUCAGCAGGGAAGAUGAUGACGGUACCUGAAGAAGAAGCCCCGGCUAACUACGUG